GUGCUCACUUUAGCAACACAUAUACUAAAAUUGGAAUGAUACAGAUCAAAUUAACAUGACACCAGCACAAGAAUGACACUCUGACUUGGCUCUAAUUGGUAAACUUCU
Small nuclear RNA from Phyllostomus hastatus (greater spear-nosed bat), 108 nucleotides. NCBI's taxonomy places the organism in Eukaryota, Metazoa, Chordata, Mammalia, Chiroptera, Phyllostomidae. The record is from RefSeq and is a predicted model, not a curated record.